Molecule: RNA transcript, 3381 nt
Organism: Gadus macrocephalus (Pacific cod)
Lineage: Eukaryota; Metazoa; Chordata; Actinopteri; Gadiformes; Gadidae
Gene: sult4a1
Gene name: sulfotransferase family 4A, member 1
Exons: 8
Source: RefSeq, a predicted model, not a curated record
UCGCAGGAUCCCUCUGCGUUCACACAGUGCCAAACAUCCCUGGGCGAGAGGCGGAUGCACGUUAAUACUGCUUUUCUUUUUUUUUUUACUUCCCGGAUUAGAUUUCCCCCAAACCUGCGUUGUUUUGGUUUUGGUCUGCGGGGCUAUGAUGGCCGACAGCGAGGCGGAGACGCCGAGCACGCCGAUCGAGUUCGAAAGCAAAUACUUCGAGUUUGAUGGAGUGCGGCUGCCACCCUUCUGCAGGGGCAAGAUGGACGACAUCGCCAACUUCUCGCUCAGAAGUAGCGACAUAUGGAUCGUCACCUAUCCCAAAUCCGGUACCAGCCUGCUGCAGGAGGUGGUGUACCUGGUGAGCCAGGGGGCGGACCCGGACGAGAUCGGCCUCAUGAACAUCGACGAGCAGCUGCCUGUUCUGGAGUACCCCCAGCCCGGGCUGGACAUCAUACAGGAGCUGACGUCCCCUCGUCUGAUCAAGAGCCACCUGCCUUAUCGCUUCCUGCCGGCGGCCAUGCACAGUGGGGAGGCCAAGGUCAUCUACAUGGCCCGUAACCCCAAGGACCUGGUGGUGUCCUACUACCAGUUCCACCGCUCCCUCCGCACCAUGAGCUACCGCGGAACCUUCCAGGAGUUCUGCAGACGAUUCAUGAAUGACAAGCUGGGAUAUGGCUCCUGGUUCGACCACGUUCAGGAGUUCUGGGAGCAUCGCAUGGAUUCCAACGUGCUGUUUUUAAAGUACGAGGACAUGUACAAGGACCCGGGCUCCCUGGUGGAGCAGCUGGCUGGGUUCCUGGGCGUGGCGUGUGAUAAGGCCCAGCUGGAGGGGCUGGUGGAGAGCUGCAACCAGCUGAUCGAGCAGUGCUCCACCUCCGAGGCCCUCACCGUCUGCAGGGUGCAUGGAAGCCUAGCUUGAUUCUGGCCUGUUGUAGAGGCUCAGAACAGGCUCAGAACAUGCUCACAAACAGGCUCACAAAGUGGCUCACAGCACACGUCUCAGGUCGGGUGGGGCUCUGGAAGGACGUGUUCACGGUGUCCAUGAACGAAAAGUUUGACGGAAUCUACCGGCAGAAGAUGGGCAAGUCAGACCUGACUUUUGACUUUGGCCUCUGAGUGGCCGACCUGCCAAACAUAGGAAAGGAAAUAUCAAGUCCGUCAACAACGACAACCACAACAACAACAACAACAACAAAACAUCACCUCCACUGUCUUUCUCUCUUUGGUCGUCAACCUUCAACAACCCUCAGUGAUUGGUCGGUCAGUCUGUCAGUCAGACAGUCUAGACCCGCCUCCCCGAUCGUUAAUCACAACUCAGACUUCCCUCCUUAUCAAACUCCCCCAUCGCUUUCCUCUCUCUCUCCCCCCUGCCCCUCUCUGUCCCCCCCUCUCUGUCCCCUGUCUCUCUACCCCCCUGCCUCUCUCUCCCCCCUGCCUCUCUCUCUCUCCCCCAGCCUCUCUCUCCCCCCCUGCCUCUCUCCCCCAGCCUCUCUCUCUCCCCCCUGUCUCUCUCUCCCCCAUUCCUCUCUCUCUCCCCCCUUCCUCUCCCUCCUGUGUCUCUCUCUCCCUGCCUCUCUCCCCCCUGCCUCUCUCUAGCGCCCCUUGCUGGCCACGAAAACGACACACACGCUCACUCUUACUGUGCACUUCUAGAUUAAUCUGCAUCAAUAUGUGUGCAUCGACGUGUUAACAGAUCUGCAGCCAAGUUUUUAAAAUCAGUGAUUGAAGCCAUUCUCCUCCGGCCCCUGCCUGGACACAGUACGGGCCCACCGGGGCGCAUCUUGAGAUGCACAUGGAGGCUCUCUGUCUGUAGACUAUCUGGAUAUACAUCGAGGUGUUUGGCGUAUGCAGCCGUGGCUCCGGAGGCUAGAGUGACGAUGUGUGUCAGAGCAGACACACAUGAACAAUGAUGAGCUCAUCAGAGGUGCUGUAGGGGGGCAAUAGAGGGCAGGUUGGGGUGCUGUAGGGGGGCAAUAGAGGGCAGGUUGGGGUGCUGUAGGGGGGCAAUAGAGGGCAGGUUGGGGUGUUGUAGGGGGGCAGUAGAUGGCAGGUUGGGGUGCUGUAGGGGGGCAAUAGAGCCCAGGUUGGGGUGUUGUAAGGGGGAAAUAGACCGCAGGUUGGGGUGCUAUAGGGGGGCAAUAGAGGGCAGGUUGGGGUGCUGUAGGGGGGCAAUAGACGGCAGGUUGGGGUGCUGUAGGGGGGCAAUAGACGGCAGGUUGGGGUGCUGUAGGGGGCAAUAGACGGCAGGUUGGGGUGCUGUAGGGGGGGGGCAAUAGAUGGCAGGACGGGGUGCGGCCCCACCAGGGUCGUGCCAGUGUUAACGAAUGUUAAGCGCUCGUGUUAUAACGUUGGCUUCAGUUUGACUUCCUCCUUUGUUGUUGCGCGGUGUGGCUCCGUGUCUGUGUGUUGAUGCACGUGCACGGCGGUGUGUGUGUGUGUGUGUGUGUGUGCACGGCGAGGUUCCAGUGCUCAGCUGUACGGUGCACCGUCCGUCACGCGCCACUGAACCCCAGCUACGCUUCUGACUUCGCUCUGACGUCAUUCUUGCAUUAAUGGCAGUGAGUUGUACUUUGAGGCUUCUAGUGUUGCACAGGUUCGAGGUCCAUAGCCCAAACAAAAACGCAGACACACACACACACACACACACACACACACACACACACACACACACACACACUGGCUGAUAGACAGAGGCGCGAACACAACCACACACAGUCAGUUAGACAGGCAGACAGACAGACAGUCAAUCUGUCAGUCACACUAGCACACACACACACACACACACACACACACACACACACACAACCACACGCAGACUGACAGACAGCGACACACACACAGAUAUCCACACACACAGACUGACAGACUGAGACACACACACACACACACACACACACACACACACACACACACACACACAAACAACCACACACAUUCAGUCUGACACCCGCAGACAGACAGACAGACAGACAGACAGACAGACACACAGUCAGACAGACACACAGUCAGACACAGACACACACACUUUUGUUGCCAAUAAAGUCCUCAGUGUGUGAGGUGGGCUGCUCUCGUGAAUGUGUUUACUGCUUGGAACAGAACCAGACCCACCUCAUGCUGUGUUCACCUCCUGUCCGCACAGAGCUCACAUUUUACUACAUUACACUGUCUCCUGUAUCGCUCUCUCUCCCCUCCAUCCCUCCCUCUUAUUGUGUCACUGUUUACAUCGGUUGGCAAGGCUUCGACUGCCCAUAAGUACGACUAUUGUCCCGGAGGACAUUUUGUUUUGGGUUCUCACGCCAGCCAUUUAAUUUUUUAAUCUCGGGCAUUCUCUGCAAUGUAUUUUACAUGCUUCGCUUGCUGGUUUAUUAAUAAAGUUAUGUCUUCAGGCAA